This 71-nucleotide transfer RNA is filed under the name Acropyga butteli. RNAcentral's name for it is "tRNA-Arg". The record is from RNAcentral. Lineage: Eukaryota; Metazoa; Arthropoda; Insecta; Hymenoptera; Formicidae.
UCUUUUAAAGUAAAAUUUACACUUUAAUUUCGACUUAAAAAUUUGGUUAAAAAAUUCAUAACCUAAGAGAA